Molecule: ribosomal RNA, 256 nt
Filed under: uncultured bacterium
Lineage: Bacteria
Description: partial 16S ribosomal RNA
Rfam family: Bacterial small subunit ribosomal RNA
Source: RNAcentral
UACGGGGGGGGGCAAGCGUUGUUCGGAAUUACUGGGCGUAAAGGGCUGGUAGGCGGCCAACUAAGUCGGAUGUGAAAUCCCCAGGCCUUAACCUGGGAACUGCAUCCGAUACUGGUCGGCUUGAAUCCGGGAGAGGGAUGCAGAAUUCCAGGUGUAGCGGUGAAAUGCGUAGAUAUCUGGAGGAAUACCGGUGGCGAAGGCGGCAUCCUGGACCGGCAUUGACGCUGAGGCGCGAAAGCCAGGGGAGCAAAGCGGG